This 451-nucleotide ribosomal RNA is filed under the name uncultured bacterium. RNAcentral describes it as "partial 16S ribosomal RNA". It matches the Rfam family "Bacterial small subunit ribosomal RNA", at positions 28 to 507 of the family's 1533-position model. The record is from RNAcentral.
GAUGAACGCUGGCGGCGUGCCUAACACAUGCAAGUCGAGCGGCAGCGAGGGGUGCUUGCACCCUGUCGGCGAGCGGCGGACGGCUGAGUAACGCGUGGGAACGUGCCCCAAAGUGAGGAAUAACUGCCCGAAAGGGUAGCUAAUACCGCAUAUUAUCUUCGGAUCAAAGGAUUUAUCCGCUUUGGGAGCGGCUCGCGUCGGAUUAGGUAGUUGGUGAGGUAAUGGCUCACCAAGCCGACGAUCCGUAGCUGGUCUGAGAGGAUGACCAGCCAGACUGGAACUGAGACACGGUCCAGACUCCUACGGGAGGCAGCAGUGAGGAAUCUUACACAAUGGGCGAAAGCCUGAUGGAGCCACGCCGCGUGCAGGACGAAGGCCUUCGGGUUGUAAACUGCUUUUAUAAGUGAGGAAUAUGACGGUAACUGAUGAAUAAGGAUCAGCUAACUACGUG